This 73-nucleotide transfer RNA is filed under the name Candidatus Zixiibacteriota bacterium. RNAcentral's name for it is "tRNA-Thr". It matches the Rfam family "tRNA". From Rfam's summary of the family: Transfer RNA (tRNA) molecules are approximately 80 nucleotides in length. The record is from RNAcentral. Lineage: Bacteria; Pseudomonadati; Candidatus Zixiibacteriota.
GCCACGAUAGCUCAGUUGGUAGAGCAAUUCACUCGUAAUGAAUAGGUCGCCGGUUCGACUCCGGCUCGUGGCU